GGCCAAACAAUUAGCUCUUCAUUAGCAUUUCGGUUUGGAGUUAGAUUUACACUUGUGGAAUCAAAGCACUUGAUUUUAGCAUGAAAGUCCCUCUCUAAGUACUCAAUCAAUCCCGUAUGUUUAGCUUUUUCUUUAUAACUAGUAGUUUUUGAUUUACUCGCAAUCCGAUCCGCAUGCCUGAGGAGGUCAUUGUAACUGUAGUCUUUACUUUCAUGACAAAAGGGACAUUUUAAAAACUUAUCGGAAAACCUAACUUUUAGACACCCGUCUUUUAGUUUCUCAUAAUACUUAUGUCUCACGUUUUCUUCAAACUCAGGAUCAACUUUAUUUUCAUAUCUAACUCGCUGACUCAUCGUACACACUUGAUACCUUGAAGUAAGACUGAGAAACAAACAAAAACCCUAAGUUGGAAUCGCUAGGGUUUGUCUGCAAUGGCGGAAGUGAACGUGAACAGAGGAUUGUGAU
This 465-nucleotide long non-coding RNA is filed under the name Helianthus annuus (common sunflower). RNAcentral's name for it is "sRNA HanXRQr2_Chr05g0198101". The record is from RNAcentral. Lineage: Eukaryota; Viridiplantae; Streptophyta; Magnoliopsida; Asterales; Asteraceae.